Molecule: ribosomal RNA, 253 nt
Filed under: uncultured bacterium
Lineage: Bacteria
Description: partial 16S ribosomal RNA
Rfam family: Bacterial small subunit ribosomal RNA
Source: RNAcentral
UACGUAGGGUGCGAGCGUUGUCCGGAAUUAUUGGGCGUAAAGAGCUCGUAGGCGGUCUGUCGCGUCGGCUGUGAAAACCCGGAGCUCAACUCCGGGCCUGCAGUCGAUACGGGCAGACUAGAGUUCGGCAGGGGAGACUGGAAUUCCUGGUGUAGCGGUGAAAUGCGCAGAUAUCAGGAGGAACACCGGUGGCGAAGGCGGGUCUCUGGGCCGAUACUGACGCUGAGGAGCGAAAGCGUGGGGAGCGAACAGG